This 521-nucleotide ribosomal RNA is filed under the name Streptomyces sp. 645257. Its description in RNAcentral is "bacterial SSU rRNA". It matches the Rfam family "Bacterial small subunit ribosomal RNA", at positions 96 to 631 of the family's 1533-position model. The record is from RNAcentral. Lineage: Bacteria; Bacillati; Actinomycetota; Actinomycetes; Kitasatosporales; Streptomycetaceae.
UGGCGAACGGGUGAGUAACACGUGGGCAAUCUGCCCUGCACUCUGGGACAAGCCCUGGAAACGGGGUCUAAUACCGGAUAUUACUCGUCAAGGCAUCUUGACGGGUGGAAAGCUCCGGCGGUGCAGGAUGAGCCCGCGGCCUAUCAGCUUGUUGGUGGGGUGAUGGCCUACCAAGGCGACGACGGGUAGCCGGCCUGAGAGGGCGACCGGCCACACUGGGACUGAGACACGGCCCAGACUCCUACGGGAGGCAGCAGUGGGGAAUAUUGCACAAUGGGCGAAAGCCUGAUGCAGCGACGCCGCGUGAGGGAUGACGGCCUUCGGGUUGUAAACCUCUUUCAGCAGGGAAGAAGCGCAAGUGACGGUACCUGCAGAAGAAGCACCGGCUAACUACGUGCCAGCAGCCGCGGUAAUACGUAGGGUGCGAGCGUUGUCCGGAAUUAUUGGGCGUAAAGAGCUCGUAGGCGGCUUGUCGCGUCGGAUGUGAAAGCCCGGGGCUUAACCCCGGGUCUGCAUUCGAU